GCGUUCUUGGUCCUCAUUAGUUACAGUUGUGAUCUUCGAACACAGGAAGAAGAAGGAAGAUGUGUAGAUGGUGACAUGCCAAAUGCUGCAUAAUGUUUCCAUACGUCAAUCUUCAGAAUGAGAUAAGGAAACUCACCUGUUGAGCAUGCUCAAUGAAAACCCCGCUGACUCACAGAAAGAUCUAUACUUGAUAGACAGUUCCAUCAAGAACCCAACGAGGAGACCACA
Molecule: long non-coding RNA, 228 nt
Organism: Tarenaya hassleriana
Lineage: Eukaryota; Viridiplantae; Streptophyta; Magnoliopsida; Brassicales; Cleomaceae
Exons: 2
Source: RefSeq, a predicted model, not a curated record